RNAcentral lists this long non-coding RNA (1060 nucleotides) under Monodelphis domestica (gray short-tailed opossum). RNAcentral's name for it is "lncRNA (ENSMODG00000034086.2)". The record is from RNAcentral. Lineage: Eukaryota; Metazoa; Chordata; Mammalia; Didelphimorphia; Didelphidae.
GCCUGGUAUGAUUCACUGGCACAAUGCCCACCUUUACUCAAGACCCCAUCACUGCUUACCUGGACUAUUGAAAUGGUUUCCAGACUAAUUUCCCCUUUUCCAAUGUCUCACUGCCAGAGUAAUUUGCCUAAACCUCUUAUCUGAUAUAGAAACUUAUUUAUAUUAGCAGAAGAAAAGCCCUCACUGUCUAGCUUGGUGAGACUCUAGGUGAUGGAGGAACUGCAUGAACCUUAAUGAAAAUAGUGCUAUUUACUCCUUUUCUUGGAAUAGUCUUGCCUGAGAUGAGACAUACACAGGGUCACAGAAGAGAGCAAAGAACUUAUAUUUAUGAUUUGGGAGAGAAGGAGCAAGAAAGAGGGACAGCCUGAAUGAAGACAAGAAAAAAUGGGGGCACCGAAAUUCAAGCUGAACAACAGGACAGAAGCGGGGAACCCUCCUUCUGGACUCAAAUCAAAAGGUACGCCCCCUCCCCAAAGCCGGAAUCCGAGAAUACUCAGGGCUAAGGGGAAGGCAGAGCAAAGGUCCCAGGUCCCCUCCCCCACAACCCAGAGGGCUGAGCCCCCAGCAGCAGCAAAACCUCUGAGCGGGCAAAGGUGCUGGUUUGCAGGGUCUACCUUGGGAGCAGCGGGGCGCCGGGCUCGGAGCAUCCAGCUUAGACAGCGGGGAGGAAGCCAGGGAGAAAUGGGGCAGUGGCUGGGUCCCUCCAUCGGCUCCAGUCUCACCCUUGCCUCGGGCACAUCCAGACCAAUCGAGUUGAACCUAAUCCCAUCAGAACUCCUCAGAGUUUAGGGAGGCCAGCAAAGGCACUCGCGGACAGAGGAGAAAUAGCUGGAGAGAACUGGAGAGAGCCUGGGCGGCCCAGCCUUCUAGGAGUCUUCAGAGCCUCAGAGCUUCAUACCACAUACAGCCCAACCCAGUUGAACUCAAUCCAAUCAAAAGCCUCCAGAGGACAGGGAAGCUAACAUUCCUCCCCUAAAGACUGUACCAAGAGAUCUGACAAAGCUCCAAGAGGGGAGACUGACAGCCCCAAAACCAAAAUAAAAUGAGAGGAGCAAGAGCA